RNAcentral lists this ribosomal RNA (125 nucleotides) under Amphilophus citrinellus (Midas cichlid). The record is from RNAcentral. Lineage: Eukaryota; Metazoa; Chordata; Actinopteri; Cichliformes; Cichlidae.
ACUUACGGCCAUACCACCCUGAACACGCCCGAUCUUGUCUGAUCUUGGAAGCUAAGCAGGAAUGGGCCUGGUUAGUACUUGGAUGGGAGGCUCCCUAGGAAUACCAGGUGGGAUUACUGUGACUC